CCUACGGGGGGCAGCAGUGAGGAAUAUUGGUCAAUGGGCGCUAGCCUGAACCAGCCAAGUAGCGUGAAGGAUGAAUGUCCUAUGGGUUGUAAACUUCUUUUAUAUGGGAACAAAGUGCAGUAUGUAUACCGCUUUGCAUGUACCUUAUGAAUAAGGAUCGGCUAACUCCGUGCCAGCAGCCGCGGUAAUACGGAGGAUGCGAGCGUUAUCCGGAUUUAUUGGGUUUAAAGGGUGCGUAGGCGGGCUUUUAAGUCAGCGGUAAAAACCCGGGGCUCAACCCCGUCCGGCCGUUGAAACUGGGGGCCUUGAGUGGGCGAGAAGAAGGCGGAAUGCGUGGUGUAGCGGUGAAAUGCAUAGAUAUCACGCAGAACCCCGAUUGCGAAGGCAGCAUUCCGGCGCCCUACUGACGCUGAGGCACGAAAGUGCGGGGAUCGAACAGGAUUAGAUACCCGUGUAGUC
RNAcentral lists this ribosomal RNA (459 nucleotides) under uncultured bacterium. RNAcentral's name for it is "partial 16S ribosomal RNA". It matches the Rfam family "Bacterial small subunit ribosomal RNA", at positions 338 to 795 of the family's 1533-position model. The record is from RNAcentral.